UACGGAGGGUGCGAGCGUUGUCCGGAAUUACUGGGCGUAAAGCGUGCGCAGGCGGUUGUGCAAGACCGAUGUGAAAUCCCCGGGCUUAACCUGGGAAUGGCAUUGGUGACUGCACGGCUAGAGUGUGUCAGAGGGGGGUAGAAUUCCACGUGUAGCAGUGAAAUGCGUAGAGAUGUGGAGGAACACCGAUGGCGAAGGCAGCCCCCUGGGUCGACACUGACGCUCAUGCACGAAAGCGUGGGGAGCAAACAGG
Molecule: ribosomal RNA, 253 nt
Filed under: uncultured bacterium
Lineage: Bacteria
Description: partial 16S ribosomal RNA
Rfam family: Bacterial small subunit ribosomal RNA
Source: RNAcentral